GAGCCGGAACGGGCCCCCUGAGUCCGCGUCUGCGCAGAGAAUCGUAUCCUCGCGGGAGCGAACCCCGGGGCGCCACACGCCUCUACCCCCGCUAGGCAAGGCGGGGUCCGUGCCCGGGCCAGUGUGGUGGAGCGGCGUGAGGCUUGACGAGGACGCGCGGUGUCGUUGGCGGGAGGCAGCACCAAUCCCGAGUUCACAAAGGCCACUGCUGUGGACUAGACCUUCAAUACUAACUCAGUGAGAAGAUCCACCUGGAACAAACUGGUCUUCAACCACUACCUUCCUCAAAGAACAAAAUAUAAACGCAUCAAGUUUUGCCUCCACUGGCUCUUCAGUGGAAAAUUCUAUCACCAGCUGUUUUUCUACAUAUUAAAAUGGAAUAAUCUGAGACUAAAACCAGUCAAGCAACUCCUCCAGUUUUAAGCAUGCAUUACUCUCCUGUCACAACCAUGCCACAGAAACUGAUGAAAUACUGUGGUAUUAGACUGUACCUCAAAUGAGCAAUUUUCUAGUACAAUAAAGGUGUAAGUACACCAGGUUCAGUUUAAGUACAAUUAUGUUUCAUUAUUCAAUAAGGGUUUUAUUAUUUGUAUUGUAGUGCCUACGGAUGCUAAUCGAGGUCCAGAGCUCUACUGCACCAGAUGCUAUGCAGACUGAGUAAGAAGACAGUGUCUACCCCAAAUAGCUCAUGUCAUGACAAAGACUCCAAAAAAAGGCAGAUGAAAAGCAAAUGGAGGGGGGGCAGGAAGAGGGAGAAAGAAAACGACACAACAAGAAAGGGUAACAGGCAAACCCCGUUGCUGAAAAUAGCAUUCAGGUCCUGAGGAUGUCCUGGUAAAAGACAGACAACGUGGAGAUGUCUUGGGGAAGACCUCUUGGAUGGAGAAGAAAAAGCUGCUGGUCAUAUCACAGCCCUUGGAGGUGGUGGAGGAAGGCAUGCACUGGCACACGCCAUGCCAGACUAUGAGCAUUGUAUGAGUCUCUGCAGGCCUGAAGGUGGCUGUGAAUCUUUAUCGUUUACCGAGUUUGUGUUACUGCAGUUUUUUCACUUGUUUUUUCCAUAUUGGCUCUUUCUAUAAAUGAUCUUGAUAACAGGUGUUCAGUUCCUUAUAUCAUGACUUUCAUACAAAUGAUACUAAGCAUUUUACUUUCCAGUUCCCCUGGUUCCUCCUCACUAUUUUUUCUGUUUAUAUAGUAGUUUAAGGUUUUAUUCCAGACAGUCUGCAUCAAGCUGUUUUUGUUCUAGUGACCCCUUUAGUGAUACAGUCUGAGUAUAAUGUUUCAGGGUACUUUAAUAGCAAUUUCCUUCUCUAUGCCUUCCUUGUCUUGAGAUCCUCAAGAGCAGCCAGGAUGCUGAUUUCUCACCAUGAGUCCUUGUUAUGGAGAGUGCUGAUAAUUUAUUCAUUGCUGAAUUUUGUUGUUAACCAUCUUUCGCAAUGGGUGAGAGAUGGGCAAUUUAGAUUAGGGAAUCAUUUAAAAACAAAGGGAAAACAAAUCUCCAUGAAGCACUGCAGAAAGCACCAGUGGACAUCUUGCUUUCACUGCAAAGUCAACUCAAUUAUGACUCAAGUUUUGCCCUAAUUUGAAUCCCACACACACAGCUCAACUGUGGUGCUGCUUUUAACUUAAGUUGGCUGGCCCAUCAGCAAGCAGAGGCUAAAGCUAGAAUUGCCAGCUGCUAACAUGAGCAUUCUGCAUCGUGGAUACAAGCUAGCUCCACUUGACUGACUAGUUCAUUAUUUGUAUUGCUAUAGUGCCUAGAAGCUCUAGCGAUAGACCAGGACCUCCCUGUGCUAGGCAAUAUACAAACAUUACAAAAAGAGACAGGCCCUGCCCCAAAGAACUUACAACCUCCAAUACCUUUGCAAAAUUCCUCUCAUAUGCCCAGAACACACAGACAAGUUCUCCCACAAUUCACUGGGAAAGAAUUAAUAGUUUUAGUGCCAGACAUAAGUGAGUGCAGCACCAGUGUGGACGCAGCAUCUUGGUGCUAUUUAGCAGUGUGGGCACUCUCACUCAAGCUAGGCUCGCUCAAGAAAAACAAGCAUAGAACAGUUGAGCUAAUUCAGUAGUGAAGACAUACCUUGAAUAAGUCCCCUCCCAUCCCCACUGAACACCAAGGGGGUGUGAGGUAGCUAAGAACAAGGGAUCCCACCACCACCUCUUCAACAUCUUCUUUCCGCAGACGAGGAAGGGGCAGUUGAACCACACCAUUGCUUUGACCUCCUCCAAGAUACAUCUCACUUUUUUGACAGCACCCAGACUUCCUUCAGCAGCCUCAGCCCCAACCCUAACCUGAUUGAAGGAUGGCUACUAACCCCAGCCCUGUGAGAUUAUGUCAUGCCACAAGCUACAUGGUCUCUGCACCAAUGGAACGCCAUAAGGCCUCAGUGGGAAAAUGGAGGGAGUUCUAUUUUUCCUACCAAAGAACCAUGCAACAAGAGAACAUGUACAAGAUGUACAUGAAACAUGUACAAGAGACUGGAAAAAUGGCACACUGGUAUCGCCUGAGUUUCAUCCAAUAUGGCCUCAGAAAAUGUACAGUAUUGACAUGUGCCAUAAUAUGUUCAAAACUAUCAAGGAGGAGGUUUCUGGAUAGUAGUAGCUCAUACCAGUUACAACCUGGUACCUAUGCGAGUAUUACUGUGCCAACUACAGGCACCUUUUGGAAACAGUGGAAGCAAGACAACAGAGCUGCCAAAACUCAACACGCUAUUUUGAACAGAGAAACAAGAACACUGUGGGGCUGAAUCCAGCUGACCCACUACAUCUUUUCACAGGCAAGAAGCCAGUCAACCCACUAUGCUAACGUUUUCACUUGACCCAGGUGACUUAACAGAUAGCAACGGCAAUUAGCUCAGUCCAGCUAUUAAAGAUAUUAAAGCAUCAAAUGCAAUGCUCCCCAUUUAUUAAAGUGGCUUUGAAAAUUAAAUUGUUUCAGAUGAAAUUGACUACAGUGGAACAUAUAUAUCAGUGCACCAAAUCCUCCUCUGCAACCCAGAUUGUGAUGUGCUAAUUCAAACGCUAAAAAGACUACCUUAUUAUUCCUGUUAUUCUGCAGCCCCUCCAUAACCAUGCAGAGACACAGGUAAAACCUGAGAGAGACAAGGCAGGUGACAGGUAAAACCUCAUCAGCUGCUCUUGCAUUCAAAGUAUAAUUUCAAACAGUGGUUCUUAUCCUUUACUGCAGCCUGCACCCCCCUUUUGGUUCUCAGAAUACGUUCUCGCACCCCUUAAACCUAGAUAUAUUUUGCUUGUAUAUUACAG
Non-coding RNA from Chrysemys picta bellii (western painted turtle), 3267 nucleotides. The record is from RefSeq and is a predicted model, not a curated record. Lineage: Eukaryota; Metazoa; Chordata; Testudines; Emydidae.